AGAAAUAUUCCAGAAACAUUAAUGAAAAACAAGGACCUACAACCAUGAUUGCUCUACCCAGCAAAGGUAUCAAUUAGAAUGGAAGGACAGAUAAGGAGCUUUCCAGACAAGACAAAGCUAAAGGAGCUCAUCACCACCAAACCAUUAUUACAUGAA
Long non-coding RNA from Myotis brandtii (Brandt's bat), 156 nucleotides. RefSeq lists it as uncharacterized. NCBI's taxonomy places the organism in Eukaryota, Metazoa, Chordata, Mammalia, Chiroptera, Vespertilionidae. The transcript is spliced from 3 exons. The record is from RefSeq and is a predicted model, not a curated record.